GGGCUCCGCGGAGCCUCUUGGGCCCUCCGGUGCUUGUGUCGGUCUCUAGGCCUGGAUCUACGUCGGGCUGUGGCUCUGUCUCGGAGCCCAUCUCCGUGGAGCUCUCUGUCCACCUCGGGCUCUGGCGUGCGGCCGGCUGUCGGGCCGCGGUCCGGCCCCUGGCCUGGGGCGCCAUCUCGUGGGCACUUGGGGAGUUGUCGCGGCUCGCGGACCGGACCAGCGACAGGUUUGCUUUGGGCGGGGAGCUGCGGCAGGUACCCAGAGGAGGGGCGGGGGUGCUUCGGAGUGGGAGUGGGUGUGCGGUGGGCGAGCAAAUCUGAGCCUCCGGGAGUCCAAAGGAGCUCCAAGAGCAAAUCGGAAUCCCAGAAUCCGACACUAGCGUCAACGUAUCCACUGAGGGGUGACCCGGCUGCCGUCCCGAGGGCGCUCCCCCGGGGAGUGCCCAGAGAGGACCCAGAGCUCGGCUUCCCUUCCCAUUGCCCUCUUCUUCGCCGGGCGCGCCAGGGUCUCCCCUCUGCUGGCCCGUCCCUGGAACACGGGGCCUCCCGGCCGGCCCCUGCCUGCUGGGCGGGUGCCCCAGACUUUGAGAUCGAGGAUGGCGAAGGAGAGGAAAGAGUGGGAUUGGAUUUCAGACGUGCGGCGAGACGCCGGAAGAAGCGAACGCGCCCCUGCUCUUCGAAUGUUAGAGGAGUUUUGAGCCCAAAGCGACCUCGAAUAAGCACACUGUCCACGAGGGAUUCUACUUGAGCUAAGGAAGGGGCCUCUCGGGCCCGCCCCGUUCCGGGACUGACCCUUCACUGUGCUGCCUGAGGAAGGUCAGAGACAGCCAAGCAGUAGCCCCCCCGCUAGGGCCCGGGACAGCCUUCUCGGCCCUUUCACUCUCUCACUGGCCAAGGCCCUCGCCGCUUCAGCGUGGCCGGGGUCCGGCUCCCCCCCUGGGAGAGGCGGGCUUGACUCUCAUUCCAGGGUGUUUGGAAGCCUGGAUACUGUCCAUUGCACCUCCACCUUCGCCCUUCCUUCAUCUCACCGUUCCUGAUGUUCCUGGUGAGUUGGAGACCCAUCCUCCCAACCCAACCCCCUCCCCUGCAGUGCUCUAGGUGGGUAGGCUGUGUGCCCGGCCGGGGUGCACGGACUGGGAAGGAGGUGGGGGCUCAGUGCCGCAGAGAUGGAUAGACCCGAGGGUGGGUUACAGGGACCGUCCCUCUCCCACUCCUUCCCGCUGCCAAAAUUAGGGCUGGAGGGGGCCUGGGUGGCUCAGAGUUUGAGCGUCUGCCUUUGGCUCAAGGCGCGAUCGGUCCCGGGGCGGCGGGGGGGGGGGGGGGGGGGGCGGGAUCCAGUCCGGCAUCCGGCUCCCUGCUAGGAGCCUGCUUCUCCCUCUGCCUGUGUCUCUGUGUCUCUCAUGAAUAAAUAAAUAAAUCUUUAAAAAAAAUUGGGGCUGGAGACACCUGUUGGCUGGGUAAAGCAGAGAUGAGCUCAAAGGCUAGGGGUAGGAGGCAGCUGUCCCGGCAGGAGUGGGCCUCGGGGAAGGACAUGUCUAAUGGAUACCGACCCAGCGGGAUUCCCAGAGAUACCGCGGCCGAGCCCUUUAUUAUGCCAGGGGAAACUGAGGCAGGAAUGGAAGUAGUCUAUUGACCCACACUCUCUCCACCCCCAAGAGAGAUCUAGGUGAGUUACACGGGAGAACUCUCAGGUUACAUUCUGCUACUCUAGGCAACAGCCCUGACAAGGUGAAAUGUUUCUUUUCUCUUCUUUUCCUUUCUAAGGAAUCUCUACACCCACCAUGGGGCCCUAACUCCGGAGCCGAGGUCAAGAGUCGCACGCUCUAGCUCUACGGACUGAGCCAGCCAGGCGGCCCGAGAAUGGUCUCUUUUUGAGGUUCAGGAGGCAGAUGGAAAAGGAUUCUAGGGCCCGCGGUAUUGGGUGCACCGGGGCCAAACUCCUCGGAAGGGAGAGGGAGUAGGGUGCACCCGUCUUACCAGCCCCACCUACCCAGAGGCACAAAAAGGGGAGGCAUUUUCCACUCUGGAGCCCGGGAAAGGGAGCCCCGAGUCCAGGUGCGGAGUGGCUGGGGCGACGGCCGGAGGCGAGUGGCCAGCAGAGGGAGCCCGGCCCCUGGCCUGGGAGGCUGCCGGCGCGCGGGGAGCGCGGGGGGCUCGAGCGGCUCCGCGCCUCCCGGCCCAGCCCGCGGCCCAGCCCGCGGCCCUCGCCGGCGCCGCCCGGCCUCGCAGCUCCGCCCGCUGUCCCAGGCUGCUGCCGCCCCCGGGGUGCAGCUGCCGCAGGGCCGGGGGCGCCCAAGGUUUUGUCCCCGCCUCCAGCCCCUCCUUACGCGCUGGCUGCGCCCCUGCCCCACGCGGCCCACAGAGCGCACAGCGCCGUUCACUUCGCAUUGCAGCGUUUUAUUGUUUUCUCACGUUUUUGUCUUUUCGUCUCGCUUGGUAGCGAAAAGUGAAAACCUGAGGUGGGGCCCGCGGGCCGGGCGAGCAAAGCCCGGGGCGGGAGGGGCCGAGGGGCUGGCGGGGUGGAAGUUCCUCCGGGGGGGUCGGGGCUUCUCCCGUAGCCAAGGACCCCCCCCAACCCCAGCCCUGUACAAUAUAGAUGCUCAUGUAAAAUGAAAAGAAAUUUUAAAUGCUAUGAAUUAAUCUCUAGAUAUUAUGUACACAGCAAUGUACACCUUUGAAUAAAUUAAUACCAAUUUGCAUAUUCUGGGAACCUUAAAGCUUAUUUACACAAAUUACCAUUUAUUUCAUAAAUAUCUUUUUUUUCCCUGGGGACUCAAGGCAGAAGUGCCACUCCCUCCGCUGACCCAGGGGUGGGAGGGGCGCCUGUCUUUUGGGGGAAAGAAGUGGGAGGAUUAAAAGAACAGGUCCCUCCCAGCUCAAGUCUACACUGACUUCAGUCUUCACUGAGCCCAGUAUCCCUCACUGCAGAUUCUCAAGCGGUCCAGGCCCAAGGCUAGGGGGCUCUGGGGUUCUCUCCGAGGCUCCCAUCCCUGACUCCUGCACCUUCUGGCUCCCGAAGAGACCGCUAGGCAGGGCGAUGAGGCCUCCCCACAGCGCUGGAGGACCCACAGGGGCCCCUGGCCAGUGCCACCUCGACACUGGGGCAGAUCUGGCCCAUGACCAGUGGCUCCUAAGCAACUGUGUUCCGGGCAGCCGGAUUCCUCGUGAGGCCCAGGGAAAUGUCCUAGGCCCCGGCUGGCUGGUUGGGGCACUAUUCCAGCUGCUGCAGCCCGCUUUCGCUCCUUUAUUUAAAUAAAUACCCAUUCUGUGCUGUACACUUCCCAAGCAGCAGGGGCAGGCAGCCCGGGAGGUCUGCGCAGCGGCAGC
RNAcentral lists this long non-coding RNA (3326 nucleotides) under Canis lupus familiaris (dog). RNAcentral's name for it is "lncRNA (ENSCAFG00000053265.1)". The record is from RNAcentral. Lineage: Eukaryota; Metazoa; Chordata; Mammalia; Carnivora; Canidae.